RNAcentral lists this transfer RNA (73 nucleotides) under Stegodyphus mimosarum. It matches the Rfam family "tRNA". Rfam says of the family: Transfer RNA (tRNA) molecules are approximately 80 nucleotides in length. Their secondary structure includes four short double-helical elements and three loops (D, anti-codon, and T loops). Further hydrogen bonds mediate the characteristic L-shaped molecular structure. tRNAs have two regions of fundamental functional importance: the anti-codon, which is responsible for specific mRNA codon recognition, and the 3' end, to which the tRNAs corresponding amino acid is attached (by aminoacyl-tRNA synthetases). tRNAs cope with the degeneracy of the genetic code in two manners: having more than one tRNA (with a specific anti-codon) for a particular amino acid; and 'wobble' base-pairing, i.e. permitting non-standard base-pairing at the 3rd anti-codon position. The record is from Rfam by way of RNAcentral. Lineage: Eukaryota; Metazoa; Arthropoda; Arachnida; Araneae; Eresidae.
GCCUUCAUGGUGUAGUGGUCAGCACGCUCGACGUGUAACCAAGAUAUCCGUGGUUCGAUUCCCGGUGAAGGCC